UGAUUUUGGAUAGGUGAUCGCCCUUGAAGUGUUUGCGCCUUCAGGCGAGGAAAGUCCGGACACGGAAGAACACGGUGAUGGCGAACGGCCAUCGAUCAAGCUGAUGAUUAGGGACAGUGCCACAGAGAAGAAACCGCCGAACGGCUCCUUCGGGAGCGCGUGGCAAGGGUGAAAAGGUGCGGUAAGAGCGCACCGCUUGUUUGGUGACAAACAAGGCAUGGAAAACCCCACCGCGUGCAAGCGCAAGCAGUCCUUGUUGGGAAACCAACUCCCGUUGUUCGCGGGCAGGACGGGUCGCGUGCUUCGAGGCCAGCGGCAACGUUGGUCCAGAGAGAAAUGAUCGCCACCAGCGAAAGCUGGAACAAAAUCCGGCUUAUUUCCAAAUUCAGCCA
Molecule: RNase P RNA, 392 nt
Filed under: Phycisphaerales bacterium
Lineage: Bacteria; Pseudomonadati; Planctomycetota; Phycisphaerae; Phycisphaerales
Description: RNase P RNA component class A
Rfam family: Bacterial RNase P class A
About the family: Ribonuclease P (RNase P) is a ubiquitous endoribonuclease, found in archaea, bacteria and eukarya as well as chloroplasts and mitochondria. Its best characterised activity is the generation of mature 5'-ends of tRNAs by cleaving the 5'-leader elements of precursor-tRNAs. Cellular RNase Ps are ribonucleoproteins.
Source: RNAcentral